UGAGGAAUAUUGGGCAAUGCCCGCAAGGGUGACCCAGCAACGCCGCGUGGAGGAUGAAUGUCGUAAGAUUGUAAACUCCUGUUAGAGGGGAAGAAUAGUACCGGUUGGACCGGUAUAUGACUGUACCCUCAGAGAAAGCCCCGGCUAACUACGUGCCAGCAGUCGCGGUAAUACGUAGGGGGCAAGCGUUGUCCGGAUUUACUGGGUGUAAAGGGCGCGCAGGCGGGAUAAAAAGUCAGUGGUGAAAUCCUACAGCUUAACUGUAGAACUGCCUUUGAUACUUUUAUUCUUGAGUUCGGGAGAGAGAGACGGAAUUCCAGGUGUAGUGGUGAAAUACGUAGAUAUCUGGAAGAACACCAGUUGCGAAGGCGGUCUCUUGGUCCGACACUGACGCUGAGGCGCGAAAGCGUGGGGAGCAAACA
This 422-nucleotide ribosomal RNA is filed under the name uncultured bacterium. RNAcentral describes it as "bacterial SSU rRNA". It matches the Rfam family "Bacterial small subunit ribosomal RNA", at positions 355 to 774 of the family's 1533-position model. The record is from RNAcentral.